AUACGGAGGGUGCAAGCGUUACUCGGAAUCACUGGGCGUAAAGCGCGCGCAGGCGGUCUUUUAAGUUGGAUGUGAAUGCCUACGGCUCAACCGUAGAACUGCAUCCAAAACUAUUAGACUAGAGUGUGGGAGAGGAAGAUGGAAUUAGUUGUGUAGGGGUAAAAUCCGUAGAGAUAACUAGGAAUACCAAAAGCGAAGGCAAUCUUCUGGAACACUACUGACGCUGAGGCGCGAAAGCGUGGGGAGCAAACAGGAUUAGAUACCCUAGUAGUCC
This 274-nucleotide ribosomal RNA is filed under the name uncultured bacterium. RNAcentral's name for it is "partial 16S ribosomal RNA". It matches the Rfam family "Bacterial small subunit ribosomal RNA", at positions 523 to 796 of the family's 1533-position model. The record is from RNAcentral.